This 877-nucleotide ribosomal RNA is filed under the name uncultured eukaryote. RNAcentral describes it as "SSU rRNA". It matches the Rfam family "Eukaryotic small subunit ribosomal RNA", at positions 636 to 1469 of the family's 1831-position model. The record is from RNAcentral.
CGGUGUUCAACUGGCGUGUCCGCGGGACGUCCUGCCGGUGGGCUUAGCCCGCAAGGGCGGCCCAACUUCAAAUCCCAUCGCGGUGCUCUUCACUGAGUGUCGAGGUGGGCCGGCACGUUUACUUUGAACAAAUUAGAGUGCUUAAAGCAGGCUAAAACUUCGCCUGAAUACUGUGUGCAUGGAAUAAUGGAAUAGGACCUCGGUUCUAUUUUGUUGGUUUUCGGAACCCCGAGGUAAUGAUUAAUAGGAACGGAUGGGGGCAUUCGUAUUGCGACGUUAGAGGUGAAAUUCUUGGAUCGUCGCAAGACGGACAGAAGCGGAAGCAUUUGCCAAAAACGCUUUCAUUGAUCAAGAACGAAAGUUAGAGGUUCGAAGGCGAUCAGAUACCGCCCUAGUUCUAACCAUAAACGAUGCCAGCUAGCGAUCCGUCGACGUUCCUCCGAUGACUCGACGGGCAGCUUCCGGGAAACCAAAGCUUUUGGGUUCCGGGGGAAGUAUGGUUGCAAAGCUGAAACUUAAAGGAAUUGACGGAAGGGCACCACCAGGAGUGGAGCCUGCGGCUUAAUUUGACUCAACACGGGAAACCUCACCAGGCCCGGACACCGGAAGGAUUGACAGAUUGAGAGCUCUUUCUUGAUUCGGUGGGUGGUGGUGCAUGGCCGUUCUUAGUUGGUGGAGCGAUUUGUCUGGUUAAUUCCGAUAACGAACGAGACUCUAGCCUGCUAACUAGGCGUAUUUUCGACAUCUCAAAGGUCCGUCGUCCCGGCCCUCGGGUCGUGGGCGUGCGCGAUUUUUACUGUCGGCGUACUAUCAAUUCUUCUUAGAGGGACAGGUGGCUUCUAGCCGCACGAGAUUGAGCAAUAACAGGUCUGUGAUG